This 511-nucleotide ribosomal RNA is filed under the name Vibrio sp. 2Bf5S70. Its description in RNAcentral is "bacterial SSU rRNA". It matches the Rfam family "Bacterial small subunit ribosomal RNA", at positions 373 to 874 of the family's 1533-position model. The record is from RNAcentral. Lineage: Bacteria; Pseudomonadati; Pseudomonadota; Gammaproteobacteria; Vibrionales; Vibrionaceae.
GGGCGCAAGCCUGAUGCAGCCAUGCCGCGUGUGUGAAGAAGGCCUUCGGGUUGUAAAGCACUUUCAGUGGGGAGGAAGGCAUUGUGGUUAAUACCCGCAGUAUUUGACGUUACUCGACAGAAGAAGCACCGGCUAACUCCGUGCCAGCAGCCGCGGUAAUACGGAGGGUGCGAGCGUUAAUCGGAAUUACUGGGCGUAAAGCGCAUGCAGGUGGUUUGUUCAGUCAGAUGUGAAAGCCCGGGGCUCAACCUCGGAAUUGCAUUUGAAACUGGCUUGGCUAGAGUACUGUAGAGGGGGGUAGAAUUUCAGGUGUAGCGGUGAAAUGCGUAGAGAUCUGAAGGAAUACCAGUGGCGAAGGCGGCCCCCUGGACAGAUACUGACACUCAGAUGCGAAAGCGUGGGGAGCAAACAGGAUUAGAUACCCUGGUAGUCCACGCCGUAAACGAUGUCUACUUGGAGGUUGUGGCCUUGAGCCGUGGCUUUCGGAGCUAACGCGUUAAGUAGACCGCCU